GAGCCCAAAGGAGAGAGGUGAAGGACAGGCGCUGCAGCCAAUGGGAGGAAGCGGCCGUUGAGCGGCUGAAGCGAGGAGGGAAGAUGGCGGCGUGAGGGGAGGAAGCGGAGCGGGAGCCCAGGGCUGCGGCCCGAGAGGCCUCCUCUCAGGUCUGUGUAUGCACCGUAUUGAUUGACAUUCUGAAGAAGAAAACUACACUACCAGAAAGUGACUGUCAAGACUUUAUGGUGAUAAAAUGAUCUGUGUAGCUAUGGGGAAAAAAGGGAAAAAUAUUCUUGUGGUUUCACUUGCAGAAUUGGAACCUAAGAAACAACAGUGGUAUUACGCAACUGUCUUUCGUUUCCCCUCAAUUGAAGGCUGAUUGUGAAGCUCUACAUGAACGCACUUCUGGUGAAGAAAAGUCCUUCCUUUGUCACCAUAAGAGAAAAUGAAGAACCAUCACUCUUCUUCUGCUCCAGCUCCUUAACAUAAAAUUUGACAUGUGAAACUUGUAUUGUGGAGAGAGGGGAAUAAUCUUGCCCUUGUGGAGCAAUUAAAAUGUAUAGUUGACAUUUCAUAGAAAUGAUGUCAGUUGUGCCAGCUUGUUGCUCACUGUUUUUGCACUCUACAAAUUUUUGUCCAUACAUUGAAAGAUGAAAGGCUGUUCUGACUUAAUAGUUAACCCCCUUCAGAAUACCAUAGUUAGAGAACUGCCUACUCUCAACAUUGCAUUUGGAAAACUUGACAAAUUGAUAAUGUCCUUUGACCAAGCAGAUCUUAAUGUAUGAAAGAUCCCAGCAGAAUAAUCAGGAUAUUAUAUGUGUUCUAAAUAAUAAUUUGUCAAAAGAAAAUAAAAAGCUAGGAAAAUCCACUAGCAGGGAUUAUUCUCCUGAAGGGCCUGUUUACACAUAGCCUCUUGGUGUCUCUUAUUUAGGCAGCUGAUACGAUAAUGGUCAUUUUUGUCCACUGUCUUUUAGUGCAUCCUUCCUUUUAAAAUCAGAAUGAACAAACAAAAUAACCUGUACGUAUUGAUCUGCCUAAAGCCUGGAAAAGUGAAAUGUUGCUGUAAAUUGCUGCUUUUCUAGCAAGUCCUUUCUCACAGGGGUGAAGCCUUGAGGACUUAAAAGCAAGCCCAGGUUCCCUGGGACUUAUGUGCCAUUCCAGGCAUGCUGGGGUAUUUCAGCAGCAAAUAGAGCAAUAUCUUUCUCCAAGUCAAGCUCUUGCCCAAAGGGAAAAACAGCGAGUAUAAAGGUUAUGUACUAUUUCCCACCACAUAGAUGAACAAAGUGUAGAUGUGCUCAGGAAGGGCUUCUUAAGUAGUUUCCUAGUGGGUAUAAUCCACAGUUAAGAAGGACACUCUAAUUUUAACAUGUUUACAGGCUAUUAUUUUUCUCUGUUGUGUGUGAUUUAUACAGGACAUUUUCUUUCAGCAUUGAUUAAUAGUUAUCUUUCACCACACUUUGCCAGGGUGAGUGGCUUCUUGGGGUGGGGGGUGGGGAGAAGACAUACCUUCUUAUGCUGGAUCCUGUAGCCCUUGUAGUGCACCUUACUUAGAUUAUUAAAAUGUGAAUGCCAACUGUUGUUUUUUAAACAAAAGUCCUAAAUUUGUGUUUAAAAUAGGAUGACAUAUAAUAAUGGUCAGUUACAGCUAACCAAACUUUAAAUACUAUUUGAUGGUCUGCUUAGAAUUAGCAAAGGGAUUAUUUUCUAUGAGGGAAAGCAGUAAUGCUCAGUUGGAGAACCGAUUUCCUGUUCCAUGAUUGUAAAAAUAAUUUGAAUAAGAGGAGCAUGCCACUUGUAUGGUGUCACCAGUUGUCAUUCUGUAUGAUAAAUAGAGGCACAGAAAAUACUUAACAGUGAUUUUAUUCUGCUUUUUUCCUUCAUUGAAAAAUCAGAUUUUAAAAAGGAAUGUUGAAGAGAAAACUGUCAAGCUAGCAAAAAUAUGUAGCUGCAGAAAAUAAGCAAACCUGUGAAUGCCUGGUCAGCUGGUGAGCUUGUUGUUCAGAUUGACUUUAAAGUAUAACGUCAUCUCAAGUCAGAUGGAAGUUCCAAAUUUAAAGUAACUGUAUAACCUUUUAGAAUGUUCUGAAGGACUAUCUAUUGAAUCAAUGAGUAUUUGGGAUAAAGUUCCUAAAGUCUCAGUGAACUCUAAGCAGUUUUCUUCAGAACUGAUACUAAAAAUUUAGAAAGUAUCUAACAUGGUGAUGGUUUGACUAGUCUGUGGAAUUUUGUUGAUGUCUUAGCUACUUGCACCUCAUUUGUCAAAGAAUAUGACAUCAUAUAUUGUUUGGAUUUCUCACAUUGUCAAAAUAGAUGUAAGCAAGAGCCAGCCACACAAAAGUCCAGUGAAUAAAUUCUUCCCUUAGCCCUCUUAAA
This is a long non-coding RNA of Sceloporus undulatus (fence lizard), 2355 nucleotides long. RefSeq lists it as uncharacterized. The record is from RefSeq and is a predicted model, not a curated record. Lineage: Eukaryota; Metazoa; Chordata; Lepidosauria; Squamata; Phrynosomatidae. The transcript is spliced from 4 exons.